AGCGAACGCUGGCGGCAGGCCUAACACAUGCAAGUCGAACGGAUCCUUCGGGAUUAGUGGCGGACAGGUGAGUAACACGUGGGAACGUGCCCUUUGGUUCGGAACAACUCAGGGAAACUUGAGCUAAUACCGGAUGUGCCCUUCGGGGGAAAGAUUUAUCGCCAUUGGAGCGGCCCGCGUCUGAUUAGCUAGUUGGUGAGGUAACGGCCCACCAAGGCGACGAUCAGUAGCUGGUCUGAGAGGAUGAUCAGCCACACUGGGACUGAGACACGGCCCAGACUCCUACGGGAGGCAGCAGUGGGGAAUCUUGCGCAAUGGGCGAAAGCCUGACGCAGCCAUGCCGCGUGAAUGAUGAAGGUCUUAGGAUUGUAAAAUUCUUUCAGCGGGGACGAUAAUGACGGUACCCGCAGAAGAAGCUCCGGCUAACUUCGU
RNAcentral lists this ribosomal RNA (432 nucleotides) under uncultured bacterium. Its description in RNAcentral is "partial 16S ribosomal RNA". It matches the Rfam family "Bacterial small subunit ribosomal RNA", at positions 29 to 506 of the family's 1533-position model. The record is from RNAcentral.